GCAAGGCGCGGUGGCACGUUGCCUGUAGUCUCAGCUACUCGCUUGAGCCCAGCAGUUCUGGGCUGUAGUGUGCUAUGACCAUCCAGUGUCCCCACUAAGUUCGACAUCAAUAUGGUGACUUCCCGGGAGCGAGGGUCCACCGGGUUGACUAAGGAGGGGUAAACCAGCACAGGUCGGAAACAGAGCAGGUCAAAACUCCCGUGCUCAUCGGGUAGUGGGACUGCGCCUGUGAAUAGCCACUGCACUCCAGCCUGGGCAACAUAGGAAGAC
RNAcentral lists this signal recognition particle RNA (270 nucleotides) under Saimiri boliviensis boliviensis (Bolivian squirrel monkey). RNAcentral's name for it is "Metazoan signal recognition particle RNA (ENSSBOG00000006747.1)". It matches the Rfam family "Metazoan signal recognition particle RNA". From Rfam's summary of the family: The signal recognition particle (SRP) is a universally conserved ribonucleoprotein. It is involved in the co-translational targeting of proteins to membranes. Lineage: Eukaryota; Metazoa; Chordata; Mammalia; Primates; Cebidae. The record is from Rfam by way of RNAcentral.